This 479-nucleotide ribosomal RNA is filed under the name uncultured bacterium. RNAcentral describes it as "bacterial SSU rRNA". It matches the Rfam family "Bacterial small subunit ribosomal RNA", at positions 50 to 524 of the family's 1533-position model. The record is from RNAcentral.
AACACAUGCAAGUCGAAGCGAUGAAACUCUAGCUUGCUAGAGAUGAUUAGUGGCGGACGGGUGAGUAACAUUUAGGAAUCUGCCUAGUAGUGGGGGAUAGCUCGGGGAAACUCGAAUUAAUACCGCAUACGACCUACGGGUGAAAGGGGGCGCAAGCUCUUGCUAUUAGAUGAGCCUAAAUCAGAUUAGUUAGUUGGGGGGGUAAAGGCCCACCAAGGCGACGAUCUGUAACUGGUCUGAGAGGAUGAUCAGUCACACCGGAACUGAGACACGGUCCGGACUCCUACGGGAGGCAUCACUGGGGAAUAUUGGACAAUGGGGGCAACCCUGAUCCAGCCAUGCCGCGUGUGUGAAGAAGGCCUUUGGGUUGUAAAGCACUUUAAGCAUGGAGGAGAGGCUAAUGGGUUAAUACCCAUUAGAUGAGAGCGUGACCUGCAGAAUAAGCACCGGCUAACUCUUGUGCCAGCAGCCGCGGUAAU